This 297-nucleotide ribosomal RNA is filed under the name uncultured bacterium. Its description in RNAcentral is "partial 16S ribosomal RNA". It matches the Rfam family "Bacterial small subunit ribosomal RNA", at positions 29 to 353 of the family's 1533-position model. The record is from RNAcentral.
AGCGAACGCUGGCGGCAGGCCUAACACAUGCAAGUCGAGCGCCGUAGCAAUACGGAGCGGCAGACGGGUGAGUAACGCGUGGGAACGUGCCCUUCGGUUCGGAAUAACUCAGGGAAACUUGAGCUAAUACCAGAUACGUCCGAAAGGAGAAAGAUUUAUCGCCGAAGGAUCGGCCCGCGUAAGAUUAGCUAGUUGGUGAGGUAACGGCUCACCAAGGCUCUGAUCUUUAGCUGGUCUGAGAGGACGAUCAGCCACACUGGGACUGAGACACGGCCCAGACUCCUACGGGAGGCAGCA